CAAAACAUGUAGACAUAGGGAAUAUGUGUGAAGCUAAAUGCAUUGUGUUAGCAUUAGAAGAUGGUUCCCCAGUCAUGACUUCAUGGUAACCAGGAAUCAUAGGGACAGGUACCUAUGAAUGACCAGUAUUGGUAAGUGGCCAAAGCUAGUUUAUAUUAUAACUUCUGCUUACUAAAAUUAGAAGACAUAUUACUUUCUUUUUUUUAAAGAUUUAUUUAUUUAUUUGAAAGGCAGAGUUUCAGAGAGACAGAGGCAGAGAGAGAGAGAGAGAGAUAGACAGAGAGACAAGAGAGAAAGGUCUUCCAUCCACUGGUUCAUUCCCCCAGAUGGUUGCAAUAGCAGGAGCUGCACCAAUCUGAAGCCAGAAGCCAGGAGCUACUUCCGGGUCUCCCAAAUGAGUGUAGGGGCCCGAAGACUUGAGCCAUCUUUUAUUGUUUUCCCAGGCCAUAGCAGAGAGCUGGAUCAGAAGUGGAGGAGCCAGGACUGGAACCUGCGCCCAUAAGGGAUGCCGGCACUGCAGGUGACAGCUUUAUCCACUACACCACAGCUGCGGCCCCCGACUUUCUUUUUGAUGGAGGUUCAACUCCAGUGUUUUGUGAAUCCCCUUGAAGCUCUGGAAAACUCAAUAGAUACAGUCAUAAUUAAGGGUUAUCAAUUAUGGCUCAAGGUGAGAAACAAGAAUUCCAACUACAAGCAUGAAAAAGGAAAUGAUGCUGAAACAACCGGCCAAAUACAGAGCAGAGCCAGCUCUUCAUGCCGAGGGUUCUCAGAAGAGACAUAGGAAGGUAUUGAUCAUUCUCCUAAAGGCAAGCUGAGCAGAUUAGAUUGAUACAGACUCUGUUUCUUCCCCUAAGUUUGCUAGAGCAACGGGAGUGAAAUCAGUUUGGGAAGGAACGUAAUGGACAAUUUGUAAAGAUGUAAGAUAAGCUGGAUACUCAUUUUACUUUCGUGAAUUUCUUCUUGGUUGUAACUGAAAUUGAAGGUGACUGGGUGCUAGAGCUGCAAGGGGACUGAAUUUGUUAUUUCC
RNAcentral lists this long non-coding RNA (1027 nucleotides) under Oryctolagus cuniculus (rabbit). RNAcentral describes it as "lncRNA (ENSOCUG00000033861.1)". Lineage: Eukaryota; Metazoa; Chordata; Mammalia; Lagomorpha; Leporidae. The record is from RNAcentral.